CCUACGGGUGGCAGCAGUCGAGAAUUUUUCUCAAUGGGCGCAAGCCUGAAGGAGCGACGCCGCGUGGGGGAUGAAGGGUUUCGAUCCGUAAACCCCUGUCAUUUGUGAACAAGGUUCACUCAAUAACACUGGGUGAAUUGAUAGUAAUGAAAGAGGAAGGGACGGCUAACUCUGUGCCAGCAGCCGCGGUAAUACAGAGGUCCCGAGCGUUGUUCGGAUUCACUGGGCGUAAAGGGUGCGUAGGUGGCAUGGCAAGUUUGAUGUGAAAGCUCAGGGCUUAACCCUGAAAUGGCAUUGAAUACUGCUGUGCUGGAGGUUUGGAGGGGGGACUGGAAUUCUCGGUGUAGCAGUGAAAUGCGUAGAUAUCGAGAGGAACACCAGUGGCGAAGGCGAGUCCCUGGACAACACCUGACACUGAGGCACGAAAGCCGGGGGAGCAA
This 440-nucleotide ribosomal RNA is filed under the name uncultured bacterium. RNAcentral's name for it is "bacterial SSU rRNA". It matches the Rfam family "Bacterial small subunit ribosomal RNA", at positions 338 to 771 of the family's 1533-position model. The record is from RNAcentral.